UCCUAAAAAGCUAGCCCAACCCCUGAAAAACAACCACCCUUUAAAUCCAACCCCCUAUAAAACACCCAACAAACCAUUUUACCUCCCCAGUACCCGGGCGACAGAAAAG
RNAcentral lists this ribosomal RNA (109 nucleotides) under Diaphus chrysorhynchus (golden-nosed lantern fish). RNAcentral's name for it is "partial 16S ribosomal RNA". The record is from RNAcentral. Lineage: Eukaryota; Metazoa; Chordata; Actinopteri; Myctophiformes; Myctophidae.